GUUUGCACUCAUCGGGGAAGGGUGAGAACCUUCGACUAAGGUUCGAUUUGAGCGAAAGCGAGAGAGCGUUGCCGCAGGCAACGACCCGAAGGGCGAAGCGCGCAGCGCUGAGUAAUCCUUCCCCCACCACCA
RNAcentral lists this small RNA (132 nucleotides) under Escherichia coli. Its description in RNAcentral is "RtT sRNA". It matches the Rfam family "RtT RNA". Rfam says of the family: This family represents a bacterial cis-regulatory element known as RtT RNA. The record is from RNAcentral. Lineage: Bacteria; Pseudomonadati; Pseudomonadota; Gammaproteobacteria; Enterobacterales; Enterobacteriaceae.